RNAcentral lists this ribosomal RNA (919 nucleotides) under Thermotogae bacterium enrichment culture clone BSK_131. RNAcentral describes it as "bacterial SSU rRNA". It matches the Rfam family "Bacterial small subunit ribosomal RNA", at positions 8 to 916 of the family's 1533-position model. The record is from RNAcentral. Lineage: Bacteria; Thermotogati; Thermotogota; Thermotogae.
AGAGUUUGAUCAUGGCUCAGGGCUAACGCUGGCGGCGUGUCUUAGCCAUGCAAGUCGAGCGGUCCUAUGGGGCGACCUAUAGGAUAGCGGCGGACGGCGGAGUAACACGUAGCUAACCUACCCUCCGGACGGGGAUAACCAUUCGAAAGGGUGGCUAAUACCCGAUGGAGUCAUCCGCAAGGGUGAUGAAAGGUGGGCCUCUGUUUACAAGCUCAUGCCGGGGGAGGGGGCUGCGGCCUAUCAGGUAGUUGGUGGGGUAAAGGCCCACCAAGCCUAUGACGGGUAGCCGGCCUGAGAGGGUGACCGGCCCGAGGGACACUGAGACACGGGUCCCACUCCUACGGGAGGCAGCAGGCUAGAAAUUUGGGCAAUGGGGGAAACCCUGACCCAGUGACGCCGCGUGCAGGAAGGAGCCCUUCGGGGUGUAAACUGCUGUCGUGCGGGGCGAAGGGUUUAUAGGCGAAUAGUCUAUAGACUUGACGGUACCGCAGGAGGAAGCCCAGGCUAACCUCGUGCCAGCAGCCGCGGUAAUACGGGGUGGGCGAGCGUUGCCCGGAAUUACUGGGUUUAAAGGGGGUGUAGGCGGUCUGGAUAGUCAGGUGUGUAAUCCAAUCGCUCAACGAUUGGACUGCAUCUGAUACUUUCAGGCUAGAGGGCGGUAGGGGGAGAGCGGAACUCCCGGUGUAGCGGUGAAAUGCGUAGAUAUCGGGAGGAACGCCGGUGGCGAAGGCGGCUCUCUGGGCCGUUCCUGACGCUGAGGCCCGAAAGCUGGGGGAGCGAAAGGGAUUAGAUACCCCUGUAGUCCCAGCCGUAAACGAUGGCACUAGGUGUGCCUCUAUAUAGGGGUGUGCCGACGGGAAACCAUUAAGUCCCCACCUGGGGAGUACGCCCGCAGGGUGAAACUCGAAGGGAUUGACGG